This 366-nucleotide long non-coding RNA is filed under the name Mytilus galloprovincialis (Mediterranean mussel). The record is from RNAcentral. Lineage: Eukaryota; Metazoa; Mollusca; Bivalvia; Mytilida; Mytilidae.
AGAAGAAUAAUCUUACAACCAGUGCAUGAAACUGGGUCAAGGGCAUAUAAGUCAAAUGAACAUAUACUACUCCCAUUAAUUCACAUAAUCAAAUGUUGAUGACCCUACACAUACAGAAGCAGAUCCAAUCAUCAGCAGCAAGUCAAGGGAUGAAAUGACACUGUCAAAUAAUUUGGGUCAUGAAUUUUAAAGUAAAGUAGUGAUUUGGUCCAGUUGAAAAAGGUUAAAAAUGAGCACUUUGGAAACUGUCAAAAGAUUUCAACACCCCCUUAACAUAAAAUUGUCCAUAUUUUACGUUAGAGCCAAUGAAGUUUUCUAUAAUUUUGAUAUAAUUUGUCCCAAAAGUAGUACAACAUACUGUAAAAA